This 433-nucleotide ribosomal RNA is filed under the name uncultured bacterium. RNAcentral describes it as "partial 16S ribosomal RNA". It matches the Rfam family "Bacterial small subunit ribosomal RNA", at positions 29 to 507 of the family's 1533-position model. The record is from RNAcentral.
AACGAACGCUGGCGGCAUGCCUAACACAUGCAAGUCGAACGAGACCUUCGGGUCUAGUGGCGCACGGGUGCGUAACGCGUGGGAACCUGCCCUUAGGUUCGGAAUAACUCCCCGAAAGGGGUGCUAAUACCGGAUAAUGUCUUCGGACCAAAGAUUUAUCGCCUUUGGAUGGGCCCGCGUUGGAUUAGCUAGUUGGUAGGGUAAAAGCCUACCAAGGCGACGAUCCAUAGCUGGUCUGAGAGGAUGAUCAGCCACACUGGGACUGAGACACGGCCCAGACUCCGACGGGAGGCAGCAGUGGGGAAUAUUGGACAAGGGGCGAAAGCCUGAGCAAGCAAUGCCGCGGGAGUGAUGAAGGCCUUAGGGUUGUAAAGCUCUUUGACCCGGGAUGAUAAUGACAGUACCGGGAGAAUAAGCGCCGGCUAACUCCGUG